GCUUUUAGGUGACUGCUUCCCUCUACGGAGCCGUUACCAGGUGAAGUCGGUUCCCCAACUGACUACACCUUCGAACAAACCACCUUGCCGGGUGGUUUUUUCGUUUC
Molecule: non-coding RNA, 107 nt
Filed under: Aeromonas salmonicida subsp. salmonicida
Lineage: Bacteria; Pseudomonadati; Pseudomonadota; Gammaproteobacteria; Aeromonadales; Aeromonadaceae
Source: RNAcentral